UUGCUGGGAUAAUUCAUAAUGCAUUGAGCUGUCCAGGCCCAGCUGCAAAACAGACCCCAACCAUGAUCCUCCCAUCCCCUUGUUUCACAGAUGGAAUAAAGUUCUUAUGCUUGUGUCACAGAUGGAAUAAGGUUCUUAUGCUUGUGUCACAGAUGGAAUAAGGUUCUUAUGCUUGUUUCACAGAUGGUAUAAGGUUCUUAUGCUGGUUUAUCAGAUGGUAUAAGGUUCUUAUGAUUGUUUCACAGAUGGUAUAAGGUUCUUAUGCUUGUUUCACAGAUGGAAUAAGGUUCUUAUGCUUGUUUCACAGAUGGUAUAAGGUUCUUAUGCUUGUUUCACAGGUGGAAUAAGGUUCUUAUGCUUGUUUCACAGAUGGUAUAAGGUUCUUAUGCUUGUUUAUCAGAUGGUAUAAGGUUCUUAUGAUUGUUUCACAGAUGGAAUAAGGUUCUUAUGCUUGUUUCACAGAUGGUAUAAGGUUCUUAUGCUUGUUUAUCAGAUGGUAUAAGGUUCUUAUGCUUGUUUCACAGAUGGUAUAAGGUUCUUAUGCUGGAAUGCAGUGUUUCCUUCCUCUGAACAUAAGACAUAAAUAAAAUAGGAUGCCCACUUAAACCUGAUUGACAUCCUAUUGAUUGAAAACACCUAUAAUUUGACCUCCAAAUGAACUGCUUAUCCUAGAGGUGUACAUACUUUUGCCACUCACAGAUACGUAAAUAUUGGACCAUUUGCCUCAAUAGAUAAAAGACCAAGUGUAAUAUUUCUGUCUCAUUAUUACAGUCAUGAUGGCCUGGGGACAGAUAUGUGUGAAAUUAGCAUUUGCUUUGUAAUCACAUUCCAACGAUACUUUACUCAAGCUGGCCAAUGAGACGAUGCCAUACUGUGAUUGUUGUUAACAUCUAAAUCACAAUGCUGAAGUUCCCUUUGGUAACCACAAAGCAGAACCACCUGCAAGUCUUUCAUUCUCUUCCUCUUUCUCUUUCAUUACUAUAUGCUUCGUUCAGGAGCUAGCUGUAUUGAAAUUAUUACUUGAGAUUAUUACUAAAACAGUCAAAGCUUUUACUUGGGUUCAUAUAUAAUUACAUUUGUUUUACAUUUGUUUGUUAAAUCAUUUGCUGCCCCUAAACAAUCUCACAACAAAUAGACAGCACAUUAAAUCACUGGAUUAUCCCCAAAGGAAGGGCUUGGGCAUUUGACACCAGUUAUUUUCACAAAAACUUCAGUAAGAACUCUUAUGAUGAAACGUAUUAGUUUAUUCUGCUGGAAAAGCAUUUUGGUACGAAGAUUAGAAAUGUUUUAAUCACAUAUUUUAAACAGAUAUUAUUUGCUUUAGAACAAACCUCAAAAACAUUAAACAGCUAACUUCUUUGUUAACCCCUCUAAAUAAUCUACUCUUGAGCUAAACUUUGGCCCUGACUGUUCAACAGGGAAGCAGAUACUCGUGUGAUAAGAGUUGUAAUGACUCAUAAACAGACAAAUUGAGUCGUUUCAGGAGGCUUAGGCCAAAGAUACCAUUAAGAUUUUCACAUUCUCCAUUUUAGUGUGUGCUGAUUCACAAGCGAGAAGACGAAUAAGAGGAUGGCUGUAAAGUACAGUGCCAUCUCCACUACCCUGUGGCCAUACAGUUCAGACAUUAAAGGUAGGUCCUCAUCUCCACUACCCUGAACACCCUGUGGCCAUACAGUUCAGACAUUAAAGGUAGGUCCUCAUCU
Clupea harengus (Atlantic herring) is the source of this 1703-nucleotide long non-coding RNA. The record is from Ensembl. NCBI's taxonomy places the organism in Eukaryota, Metazoa, Chordata, Actinopteri, Clupeiformes, Clupeidae.